UGGGGAAUAUUGCACAAUGGGGGAAACCCGUGAUGCAGCAACGCCGCGUGAGUGAAGAAGUAUUUCGGUAUGUAAAGCUCUAUCAGCAGGAAAGAAAAUGACGGUACCUGACUAAGAAGCCCCGGCUAACUACGUGCCAGCAGCCGCGGUAAUACGUAGGGGCAAGCGUUAUCCGGAUUUACUGGGUGUAAAGGGAGCGUAGACGGUUUUGCAAGUCUGAAGUGAAAGCCCGGGGCUUAACCCCGGGACUGCUUUGGAAACUGUAGGACUAGAGUGCAGGAGAGGUAAGUGGAAUUCCUAGUGUAGCGGUGAAAUGCGUAGAUAUCGGGAGGAACACCAGUGGCGAAGGCGGCCUACUGGGCACUAACUGACGCUGAG
RNAcentral lists this ribosomal RNA (378 nucleotides) under uncultured Clostridium sp. RNAcentral describes it as "bacterial SSU rRNA". It matches the Rfam family "Bacterial small subunit ribosomal RNA", at positions 355 to 750 of the family's 1533-position model. Lineage: Bacteria; Bacillati; Bacillota; Clostridia; Eubacteriales; Clostridiaceae. The record is from RNAcentral.